UUCAUCAGCAAGUGAAAGAAAAACUGGCUCGGCAAGCUCAGUCCACACUCCGCACUCCACUACGAUAGUACGAUGGCGAGAGCGCCGCGACCUCGUCUUCGAGUCUGAGCCACCUAUGGUGCCGCCGUGAACCACCGCCCCCGGUGCGGCCGGAGCUUCGCCGGUGGAAUUCUGCGCCGCGCCUCCCUCGUAGCCCGACUCGCCCGCGCGGGACUCUGGUCGGUCUCCGGCUUCAAACCCUAGCUGCUGGCUGCUGCUAGUACGAAGGCUGCGGCUUCAAACCUUUGCCAUCGCCCUCUCUGGUUGGCAAUAGAGCCAUGGCCAGGGGAAAGCAGCAGCAGAAGAAGACAUUGGAUCAGUCGAGAUAUCCUGAAAUUAAGAAGCAGAAGCAAUGUAACCCAUAUGUUGCUGCUAGAUCUAUCUCUUGCGACUGCAAUUUUUGGGACACGAGGCAAAAAGAUCUAUAUGAUCAGAUCUAUCGUGAAAAGAAAGUUUUUUAGCACAGAUUUGUGGAGUGGUCAGAUAUAGCUGAUGCUGAAACA
This is a long non-coding RNA of Triticum dicoccoides, 542 nucleotides long. RefSeq lists it as uncharacterized. The record is from RefSeq and is a predicted model, not a curated record. Lineage: Eukaryota; Viridiplantae; Streptophyta; Magnoliopsida; Poales; Poaceae. The transcript is spliced from 2 exons.